RNAcentral lists this ribosomal RNA (346 nucleotides) under uncultured bacterium. Its description in RNAcentral is "bacterial SSU rRNA". It matches the Rfam family "Bacterial small subunit ribosomal RNA", at positions 8 to 334 of the family's 1533-position model. The record is from RNAcentral.
AGGGUUUGAUCAUGGCUCAGGAUGAACGCUGGCGGCGUGCUUAACACAUGCAAGUCGAACGAAGCGAUGGAGAACAAUCUUUUCGGAGUGCGUUUUCUAUUGACUGAGUGGCGGACGGGUGAGUAACGCGUGGGUAACCUGCCCUAUACAGGGGGAUAACAGUUAGAAAUGACUGCUAAUACCGCAUAAGCGCACAGCUUCGCAUGAAGCGGUGUGAAAAACUGAGGUGGUAUAGGAUGGACCCGCGUUGGAUUAGCUAGUUGGAGAGGUAACGGCUCACCAAGGCGACGAUCCAUAGCCGGCCUGAGAGGGUGAACGGCCACAUUGGGACUGAGACACGGCCCAA